Molecule: long non-coding RNA, 5047 nt
Filed under: Theobroma cacao (cacao)
Lineage: Eukaryota; Viridiplantae; Streptophyta; Magnoliopsida; Malvales; Malvaceae
Description: long non-coding RNA (TCAC_LNC005330)
Source: RNAcentral
AAGGAAUCAAGCAAGUAAAGGUAAGAUUUUUUAAUUUUAGCUUAAGAUCUACCUUUCCCAUGAUUUCUUUUUCAUUUUCUAUGGUUGAAACUCAAGAUUUCAUGAAGGAAAGUUUGCUGGCCAAACCUAGGGGGAGAGGUUUUGAUCACGGGUUUUGUUAGAUUUCAUGCUAUAUACGCGUUUUUAGUUGUCUUGUGAUAUUCGGUGUGAAAAACAAGCAUGAAACCACAUGUUCUUCAUCAAACCCUCCUUGGCCGAAUUUACUAAAGGACAUAUUGAUGAUGAAUCUUGUUAUAUCUCAUGCUAUUUAACUCGUAUUUGAUGAAUUGUGGUAUCGGAUAUUGAAAACGGUUAUGGAAACGUAUGGUUCCUUUAGUAAACGAUUUGAACAACAAUGAGAAAAUCGAGUUCAUUGAGGUACUUUGGGUGUAAUUAGAGUAUUGGAAGUGUAAUGAAUAUAUUUGGAGUUGAAUCGGAUGUUUUGGUUAAAUCAAUGGUGUAUAGUUCGAAUUAGGUCGAAUACAAAUUCAUUCCGAUCACAAUUGAACCUACGUAGAACACCGUCUUUAAGUGGUUAUUUGGACACUUCUCAUUCCAUUUCAUGCAUUCAUGUAGAGCCUGAAAUAGUUUUAUAACAAUUUGGCACAAAUGUGUUAAAUUACUUGUUGUGUACUAGGUAUAGGUGGUGAGCCCCCUGGUAAGAGUAAGGAUAUCAUACCCGAGGACUAAGAAUAGGAGUACUCGAUACUCCCGUUAAGGUGAGUAAUCAUAUGAUCAUCUUAAAUAUCUAAAGUAGUUUAUACCCGUUUUUUAUGUUUUAAAGAAAAAGGAAUUUAAAUUGCAAACUAUUAUAUUUUAUAAUUGAAGUGUUGAUUAAACGAAAAUGAGGUUUAUAACUUGUUUUGAAAUUGAGUACUGGUUUUGAAAAUUGAGUAAGUGGAGACUGUAUACUUAUGUUAUAUAUAUGUUUUGACAUAUGGUUUGAAUUGAUGGCUUAUGACAAUGUGAUGGCAAGCAUGGCUGGAUUUGUGUUUGUGUGGAAUAUAUGAACUAUUUUGCUUUGCCUUGACAGGCUGGUAAUAUUAUAUUAGCCAUGUCAUGUUAUCGAAAAUUUUAUUGAAUUGGUGGGAUAAUUGAUUAGCUUACUGUAGUGGGCGGGUUUCCGUGGACCAGCCUAUUAAAGAGGCACAGUAAACCCAGUUAUAUUUUACCUUGGUACGAGAGGUGCGGAGGGUAUCUCUUAAGGUAAUGUUAGAGUUCACUUCAUGCCGAACCACCACAUAAGGGUGAAACUCGACCAACGCCUAGGAACGGCUGCGCUUUUAAAUGAAAAAAAAAUGAGUUUUAUACUCAUAUGUUAUUUUAACAGCCUUGACGGACUCGGUUGGAUGCCCGAGCGCAAGUUGUCAUCGAGUGUAAAUCUUGACACGAGCCAAGUUUUUACGACAAUCAUAAGCCUUGUUGAUUUUUACGAAAUGAAAUUGAUUUAUAUGAAAUGAGAUUUGAUGUUAUGAAUCAUAUUAUGAUGAGAUAUUUUAAAUUGUCUCCAUUUACUCAGCUUUAGAUGUUGUAGAUGAACUUUGCUUACUCACUAGGUUUAUAAAAGCUCACCACCCUCCUUUCACACAUUUCAGGCUUAGGGAAGUCUGUAGACCACUGAUUAUGUUGAGGGUUUGCUUUUGGGUUUGCACCCUUAGAAAUCCCAAGUCUAUAGUCUUGUACAUAUAUGUUUAUUUUGGGGGCCCACAUGUCAUUGUAGAAUAUUUUGUAUACCUAGCUGCGUGUGCCACUAUAUGUAUGAAUUUAUUUUACUUUUAUACUACAAAAAUUAUGUCAAGCUCAGCUUUACAAUAUGUUUAUUAUGCCAUUCCUACAUAAGAAUGCAUGUUUGCUUACUUGGGUACCUUGGAAAUCGUGAAAGGACGGUAUUGUACCAAAUGGUACAAUUAAGUUGAAUUAAGCCUCGAACUAGUCCAAAUAAAGAUUGUAAGAUGAAAUUGAGAAUUUUAAAACCCCAGAAUGACUUAAAAUGAUGAUUCAGAGUUCGAGGACCGAUUUGGAGUCAAAUUGGAAUUUUCAUGACCUAGGGGCAAAAUGGUCAUUUUGCCACCCAAGGUUAAGAUGUGAGUGUUGGAUGAAAUUUUUGACUAAGAUUGAUCAUUUGGAGUAUAAUUUGAGUUUGAGAAGUGAAGAAUUUUAAUUCCGGCAUUUUUUCGAGCAUAAGGGCAAAAUAGUCAUUUUGCCACCCCAGGGGCAAAAUUGUAAUUUUACACACCCAACACUAGUCCAGCACAUGAAUUUCACCCAUUAUUAUCAUGGAUAAUUGAAGGAUUUUAUGUGGUGGAGAAAGAAAGCUUAAUAGUUAAGAAUUUAAAAAUGGACCAAUGGUAAGGUGACAAGUGUCAAGCUUUAUUUCUUUAUUAUUUUCCUUAUAAAUUAGCACAAAAUCAGCCUAGUUCUCUUCAUUAUGGCCGGCCAAAGCAAGAACAAAGGAAGAAAAGAAAGAACAAGAACCCUAGGGUGAAAAUUCAAGAGAAACUUGCUGGAUUUCAAGUAAUCAAGCAAUCAAAGGUAAAAUUUCUUGAUUUUGACUUGUGAUCUACCUUUCCCAUACAUGCUUUUGCAUUUUCCAUGGUUGAAACACAAGAUAUCAUGAAGGAUAGUGUGCUGAUCAAACCCUAGGAGAGAGAAUUUGAUGAUGAUUUAGAUAGAUUUUUAAGAUAUAUGGAUAUUUUUAGUUGUUUAUGGUGUUAAGUGUAAGAAUUAAGCUUGAAAUUCACAUAUUCCUCAUGAGUUCAUCAUCAGCCGAAUCUUCCUUGUAAAGUGUUGAUGGUGGAUUUGAUUUUAUUUCAAGUGAAUUGGUUAGGAAAUGAUGAAUUAUGGUGAGAAAAUUAAGUAGGAAAAAUCAUAGUGUUGAUGCACUCACCAUGGCCGAAUUUUUCAAGAGAAAAUGUGAGGAUGAUUUUGCCAUAUUUCAAGUUAUUUAAUUUGUGUUUGAUGAUUUGGAGUAUUAGGGAGUAAAAUGGAAUUAUUUGGAGUUAAAUUGGACAUAUUGGCCAAUUAAUCAAGUUAUAGAUCGAAUUAGGCCAAUACCGUUUUAUUUAGGUACACAAUUGAAUUUGUGUAGAACACUGUGUUUAGAUGAUAAUCCGAACAAUUUGCUUUCCAUUUCAUACAUUAGUAUAGAGCCUGAAUUGGUUUUAUAACAAUUUAGCACAAAUGUAGUAAAUGGCUUAUUGUGCAUUAUGUCUAGUUGGUGAGCAUUCUGGUAAAAGUAAAUAGAUAGUAUCCGAGGAUCAAGAAUCACAGUACUCGAAAUUCGACUCUCGAAAUAGUGAGUAACCUUACUAUCGUCUUAAUUAUCUAUAAUGGUUUUUAUCUGAUUUUGUGAUUUUAUGGAAAAUGAGUUUAAAUGGUAAAUCUUUUAUGUUUUAUAAGCAAAAUGUGAUUAAAUGAAAAUGAUUUUAUAAAAUUAUCUUGAAAUUGAAAGAUGGUUUUGAAAAUGGAGUAAUUGGAGACUAAUUGUUGUGUUAUAAAUCAUGGUUUGAAUUGAAUGGCUUAUGAUAAUAUUUGCAUGAAUGGCUGAAUUGGUAUUUGUGUUGAAAAUGUAUGAACUGUUAAUUUGCCUUGAGAGAUUGUAAAAUAAAAUAAUUGUCAUGUCAUGCUAUUGAAUUUUAUUGAAUUGGUGGGUUAAAUAUUAGUCGCUGCAGUGGACGGGUUCCGUGGACCAGCCUAUUAGAGAGGCACGAUAACCCUAUUAUAUUCAUACCUCAGUAUGCGAGGCGCGGUUGGAUAACUCCUAAGGUUAAAACUUUAGAGUUCACUUCACGCCAAACCACCACGUGAGGAUGAACUCAGCUAACGCCAAGGAACGACUAUGUUUUCAAAAUAAAAACAUGAUUUAUGCAUACAUAACUUUUUAACAGCAUUGGCGGUCUCGAUUGGGAUAGCUCUCGGCCAAGGUAUCCCUGAUAACUGAGUAUGAGAAUGAUUUUGACACGAGCCAAAGUUUUAAGAAAUUCAUAUGUCAUGUUGAUUACUCGAUUUAUAUGAAUUGAUUUUAUUUGGUUGAAAUGAGUUGAAAGGUGAUGAAUUACAGUAUGUUAAACUAUUUUAUCUGUCUCCAUUUACUCAGCUUUAGAUAUUUUAAAUGGUAUUUGUUUACUCACUGGGAUUAUAUAAUCUCACCACCCUCCUUUCCACCCAUUUCAGGCUCAGGAUAGUCGGUAGAUAGCUUAUUUCGUUGAGGGCUACAGUUGGACUUGCAUCCUCAAAAACUGUAAGUUUACCUCUUUUGAUACUUUUGAUCGUUCAUGGGCUCACGUGUCACUGUAAAUUAAAUUUUAUACUUUGAUUUUCUGUAUUACAGUAUGUAUUAAUUUAUUUAGCUUUUAUGUUACAAAAAUCAUUUACCGGUAACUCUAUAAAUAUUGUUUUAUAAGAAAAUAGAAUAUUUUAUUGAAUAUUUUUAUUAUAUUCAAAUAGUCAUAAUUUUAUUUUAAAUGAAUGUUUUAGACAUCUAAACUUAUUUUUGAUUGUGAAAUAUGUGUUUUCCACUCGCAUACUACAUUUUUAGCUAGUUUCGAGAUUUUUGAAGAAAAAUGACCAAAAUACCCCUGUGAGAAAAAAAUUAUUUUUCUAUUGUUUUGAUUUGGAAAUAGUUUAUAAUCUGUCAAAACAUGAUACUUAACAACUGUUGCUCACAGGGGAGGUGCAAAAACUGAUAUUAAAGCCUUCCGAGGUUCCGGUUGACAUUCCGGGCGAUGAAUGUCUAUCAGGACGUCGCAGCGGUUGUCAGGGGCUCGAGGGGAGUAUCGAGUCGUGACAAAUUAUUUACGCAGAGUUCUAUAAAUAUUGUUUUAUAAGAAAAUAAAAUAUUUUAUGAAAUAUUUUUAUUUAAUUUGAAUAGCUAUAACUUCAUUUUAAAUUGAUGGAUUAGACAACGAAACUUAUUUUUAGAUAUGAAAUGGAUGCUUAUUACUUGUAUAUCAUAUUUUUACCAGGUUUCAAAAUUUUUGGGUAAAAUAACCAAAAUACCCCUGUGUAG